Molecule: ribosomal RNA, 857 nt
Filed under: uncultured Flavobacteriaceae bacterium
Lineage: Bacteria; Pseudomonadati; Bacteroidota; Flavobacteriia; Flavobacteriales; Flavobacteriaceae
Description: bacterial SSU rRNA
Rfam family: Bacterial small subunit ribosomal RNA
Source: RNAcentral
GCGGCACGCUUCAUACAUGCAAGUCGAGGGGCAGCAUAAAGUACUUGUACUUUGAUGGCGACCGGCGAACGGGUGCGUAACGCGUAUGCAACUUACCUUUUACUAGAGAAUAGCCAAGAGAAAUUUUGAUUAAUGCUCUAUAAUCUUAUAAACUCACAUGAUUUUUUAAGAAAAGCUCCGGCGGUAAAAGAUGGGCAUGCGUCCUAUUAGCUUGUAGGUGAGGUAACGGCUCACCUAAGCUCCGAUAGGUAGGGGUCCUGAGAGGGAGAUCCCCCACACUGGUACUGAGACACGGACCAGACUUCUACGGAAGGCAGCAGUAAGGAAUAUUGGACAAUGGAGGCAACUCUGAUCCAGCGAUGCCGCGUGAAGGAAGACGGCCCUAUGGGUUGUAAACUUCUUUUAUACAGGAAGAAACCUUUCCACGUGUGGAAAGCUGACGGUACUGUAAGAAUAAGGAUCGGCUAACUCCGUGCCAGCAGCCGCGGUAAUACGGAGGAUCCAAGCGUUAUCCGGAAUUAUUGGGUUUAAAGGGUCCGCAGGCUGUUUGUUAAGUCAGGGGUGAAAUCCUACCGCUCAACGGUAGAACUGCCUUUGAUACUGGCAAACUUGAGUUAUUGUGAAGUAGUUAGAAUGUGUAGUGUAGCGGUGAAAUGCAUAGAUAUUACACAGAAUACCGAUUGCGAAAGCAGAUUACUAACAAUAUACUGACGCUGAGGGACGAAAGCGUGGGUAGCGAACAGGAUUAGAUACCCUGGUAGUCCACGCCGUAAACGAUGGUCACUAGCUGUUUGAUGUACAUUGGUACAUUGAGUGGCUAAGCGAAAGUGAUAAGUGACCCACCUGGGGAGUACGCU